This 534-nucleotide unclassified non-coding RNA is filed under the name Cordana solitaria. RNAcentral describes it as "sequence contains 18S rRNA gene, ITS1, 5.8S rRNA gene, ITS2, 28S rRNA gene". The stretch from base 172 to 325 matches the Rfam family "5.8S ribosomal RNA". The record is from RNAcentral. Lineage: Eukaryota; Fungi; Ascomycota; Sordariomycetes; Coniochaetales; Cordanaceae.
AUCAUUACAGAGUUGUAAAACUCCCAAACCCUUGUGAACAUACCUGUCAAUAGUUGCUUCGAUGGGCGGCCCCAGGGCGGGGCCUCAGCCUCUCAGCGAGGUGCUCAUCGGAGGUUUUUACAAACUCUUUUGUUUUUAGCGGUCUCUCUGAGUACCUAUAUAAUAAGUCAAAACUUUCAACAACGGAUCUCUUGGUUCUGGCAUCGAUGAAGAACGCAGCGAAAUGCGAUAAGUAAUGUGAAUUGCAGAAUUCAGUGAAUCAUCGAAUCUUUGAACGCACAUUGCGCCCGCCAGUAUUCUGGCGGGCAUGCCUGUUCGAGCGUCAUUUCAACCCUCAAGCACUGCUUGGUGUUGGGGCCCUACCGCCGCGCGGUAUGCCCUGAAAACUAGUGGCGGGCUCGCCAUGAUUCCGAGCGUAGUAGUUAUAUCUCGCUUAGGACGUGUGGCGGGUUCUUGCCGUAAAACCCCCUAUUUUAUUAAAAGGUUGACCUCGGAUCAGGUAGGAAUACCCGCUGAACUUAAGCAUAUCAAUAA